RNAcentral lists this transfer RNA (61 nucleotides) under Epimeria cornigera. RNAcentral describes it as "tRNA-Lys". Lineage: Eukaryota; Metazoa; Arthropoda; Malacostraca; Amphipoda; Epimeriidae. The record is from RNAcentral.
CAAUAGAUGGCCGAAUUUAAGCAUAAAUCUUUUAAAUUUAUUAUGGAUAAUCCUCUAUUGA